GUCACGAUAUUUGAACAACUACUCUCGAGUAAAAUACAUAGACGGCGCCUCCAAAGGAUUCUCGUUUGAACGUUGGGUCGUAGAGCUUAAUGCCUAUGUUCUCCAUCGCAAAAUACGAAGUUUUCGAACCAUGAUGCCCAAAUCAACCGCCACACUUGUCUUCAAACACUUGCCCAUGUUUCCCCCUUCCAACUUCAAGUCUCGUCCCUUCAAUUUUUCCACCCAAAUAUUUCCAAAGCGGGGAAAUUUUGACUCUGCUAUAAGGCAGAAAAGCAGUAAGUUUCUCGUCUACUGCAACUCCCAAAUCACAAAACUCGGAAGGAAUGGUUGUAUCGAGGAAGCAGAGUCCAUUUUCAAUCGUAUGCCUCACAAGAAUACCGUCUCUUGGACUGCUUUGCUCACUGCAUACGCUGAAAACGGCGAAAUAAAUAAAGCCCAUGAAGUGUUCAACAAAAUGCCUGACAGAAAUAUUGCAUCCUACAAUGCGAUGAUUACGGCAUAUCAUCGGAGAAACAUGGUAGAUGAGGCUUUUGAGUUGUUCUCUAGCAUGCCUCAGCGUAAUUCUGUUUCCUAUUCUACCAUGAUUACUGGGUUUGUGCGGGCUGGAAUGUUUGAUCGGGCUGAGAAGUUGCAUCGUGAAAAGCCAGUUACGGUGUCGUCUAAUGUGUUAAUCAAUGGGUAUUUGAAGGUGGGGAGAACAGAAGAUGCGGUUCGGAUCUUUGAUGGCAUGGAAGAAAAGGAUGUGGUUUCUUGGAGCUCCAUGAUUGAUGGGCUCUGCAGAGUUGGGAAGAUUGUUGGGGCUAGAAAUUUGUUUGACAAAAUGCCUAAAAGAAAUGUGGUUACUUGGACAACAAUGAUUAAUGGGUAUAUGAAGAUGGAAAAUUUUAAAGAUGGUUUCAUAUUGUUUCUAAAUAUGAGAAGGGAAGGGGUGGAGGUUAAUGCAACUACCUUGACGGUUUUGUUUGAAGCCUGUGGUUGUUUUGAUCGAUAUGGAGAAGGAAUUCAGAUCCAUGGGUUGGUUCUGUCCUUGGGGUUUGACUUAGAUGCUUAUCUAGCCAAUUCUAUGAUCACGAUGUAUUCUAGAUGUUAUUCUAUAGAUGCAGCUACUAAAAUAUUUGAUCUAAUGGUCAAGAAAGAUAUAGUUACAUGGAAUUCUUUGAUUGCAGGUUAUGUUCAAUCUGGGAACGUGGAAAAAGCUUUCUUUCUAUUCGAGAAUAUGCCUCAAAAGGAUGUCGUUUCCUGGACAACUCUGAUUUCUGGAUUUGCCAGCAAGGGUAGGAUUGAUGAAUCCAUUGGUUUGUUUCAAAUGAUGCCUAAGAAGGAUGAUAUUGCUUGGACUGCUGUAAUUUCAGGGCUUGUGAGCAAUGGGGAAUAUGCGACAGCUUUCCGUUGGUUUAUUGAGAUGCUUCAGAGAGUAAUUAAGCCAAAUCCAUUCACUUUGAGUUGUGUGCUUAGUGCGGUGGCUGGUGUGGCAAUAUUAAGCCAAGGGUUGCAGAUUCAUGCUCUUGUUACCAAGAUGAGUAUGGAAUAUGAUUUAACAAUCCAAAAUUCUUUAGUUUCCAUGUAUUCGAAGUGUGGAAAUGUGGCCGAUGCAUUGAAGAUGUUCUAUUAUAUCAAGGUUCCUAAUGUUGUUGCUUACAAUUCCAUUAUCACUGGGUUAGCUCAAAAUGGACUUGGGAAAGAAGCACUUAAAUUAUUCACGAAAAUGCAGGAUGAUUACCUGGUACCUAAUCAUAUUACAUUUCUAGGUGUUCUUUCAGCAUGUGUCCAUGUGGGACUUGUGGAAGAGGGCCGGAGAUACUUUGAUCUAAUGAGAUCACUGUAUGAUAUUCAACCUGAGCCUGAUCAUUAUGCAUGCAUGGUUGAUCUUCUUUGCCGAGCUGGAAUGUUCAACGAAGCAGUUAGUUUGAUUUCUUCAAUGCCAUUUGACCCUCAUCAAGGUGUUUGGGGAGCAAUGCUUGGGGCAAGCUGGACCCACCUACGUCUCGAUGUUGCAGAGCUUGCAGCUCAAAAUCUCUUUGAAAUUGAACCCAAUAGUGCAACAGCUUACGUGAUUUUAUCUAAUUUACACUCUAUUUCUGGUGAUAAGAGGAAAGAUGAGCUUAUAAGGUCGAUGAAGAUAUCAAGAGGGAUAAAGAAGACUCCAGGUUGUAGUUGGAUAAUGGUUAAAGAUAAAGUCCAUCUAUUCCAUGCAGGAGAUCAAUCCCACAAAGACAUCAAAGAGAUGACAGAAAUUAUAUACACGCUGGCCGCAGAAGUAGGAAGGUGGAAGAUAUCAUACGAAUGAAAAAAUGGUAGAAUCAGAUUGAUUCGCCUGGGAAUUACCAUUGCAUAUUGGAUAUAUGGAAUUUCGUCUCUGCCAUGGAUGCUCAUGUUUUGAGUGGAAUAUAGGAGAUACCACCUUAUGGGCAUAUACGGAUUGAUUAAGCGAGAGAUACAUCCAGGCUAUGCUCAAUUGAGGAGCGGUUUGAGUGGAAGCCGUUCUUAAUUCUUAAUAGCUAAAGUUGUACAUUAGAAAAUCUAGAAGUUCAAUCUUUCCACUCCCUGACUGUUUUUGUCAAGAUGGAAAAAGUGAUGGUACCUGGAGCACUAUAAUCGGCCUAAUACACAUUGUAGGAAAUUGAAGUCCACCAAGCACCAGCAUGAUGAAUCAACCAGUUAACAUUGAAUCCCAUCGCCUUGUCCUCUAAGGUGAGGUAUUGCGAUAUAUUCCAAUCUUUCUUGAUAGCCUUUGUCACUUGUGCCAAAUCUCGCAGUUUUGCCUUUGCCUCGUCAACCCUGGCUCGGACUGUUGACACUUGAGCUUUAAGCUCAACAUCUUUGCUUGAAGCAAACACUUCUGCCUGAGCUACCUUCUGGAGCCCUUCAAAGACACUUCCAGCAGGGUCGACUUAGCCUUGGAGCUGUGCAACAGUUUAUUGGCUCGAGCCAAGGAAGGCCGCACUUGGUCAAACUCCUUUUGUGAAACAAAACUCUAAGGACUCCAUUUCAUCACCUAGCCUUGUAGAGGCAAUGCUCAGCCGUAAGAAUGCCUACAUGCCACAGAGGUAUAGUUAGAUCGGCUAGACAAACAAAGAGAAUCAAGGUUGAGGUUCGCCAAAGGUACUCACGUGAGAAACAAGGUUGGGAAUUGAAACAUCCCAUUUUGAGCUCUAUGCCCUCUGUUGGCUGAGUUGAGAAGUGGAUGACUCGAAAUUUCGACGACCGAUGACCAAUAUUGAUAGGGAAGUGGACUUUGGAUGGGUGAGGAUGAAAGAUCAAUGCUUAUUUCUUCAGGCGACAUUGCGUGACCGUGAAAAGAAGGUUGCAACGUAGGAAUCCUAAACUUCAGCUGCUGUCUCUUAACGGAAUGCCUAAAGUCCAUGGGAGCCAAAUUCAAAGGGAAUAAGGCCUCCACAAGGAUUUCAUGUGUCUCAAAAGAAAAAGUCAAACUCGUAAGAUUUAAAUUAACCAGCUGAAUUGGUUAAGUUUUACCAAAAGAGAAAUGAUUGAGCUGAGCUUGCCAUUGGCAUCUUACAAUCUUAAGGACCACACUCAUUUUGACUUUAUUGAGACUAUACAUAUCCUAAAGCAGGUGUUGAAGGAAGAACUUUAUAAAUAGCUCCACACAAACAACUUCAAAAGGUAAGAAACCCCCUCUAUGCGUAGUUGAGCUAAAUACUCUCUUUAUUAAUUUAGGUAUCAGAGUAUUCUUAGUUCGAUACGACAUUGGUGUGUGUAUCUUGUACAAAAUAGCUCCAUUUAUGUGUAUGGACCAGAGGAACGGGCUGGAGGAGCACCCAAGGCUCAUGUGUGAGUUUCCCGCACCAACAAUGUUAAUUAUGCUGAAUAAUGUGUACUAAA
Molecule: RNA transcript, 3843 nt
Organism: Benincasa hispida (wax gourd)
Lineage: Eukaryota; Viridiplantae; Streptophyta; Magnoliopsida; Cucurbitales; Cucurbitaceae
Gene name: Tetratricopeptide repeat (TPR)-like superfamily protein
Source: RefSeq, a predicted model, not a curated record